This 403-nucleotide ribosomal RNA is filed under the name uncultured bacterium. Its description in RNAcentral is "bacterial SSU rRNA". It matches the Rfam family "Bacterial small subunit ribosomal RNA", at positions 355 to 775 of the family's 1533-position model. The record is from RNAcentral.
UAGGGAAUAUUGGUAAUGGGCGAAAGCCUGAACCAGCAACGCCGCGUGUGCGAUGAAGGCCUUCGGGUCGUAAAGCACUUUUUAAGGGAAUGAGAAAGGACAGUACCCUUAGAAUAAGUCUCGGCUAACUACGUGCCAGCAGCCGCGGUAAAACGUAGGAGACGAGCGUUAUUCGGAUUUACUGGGCGUAAAGCGCAUGCAGGUGGUUUGGUAAGUUGGAUGUGAAAGUUCCUGGCUUAACUGGGAGAGGUCGUUCAAAACUGCCAGACUUGAGAAUGGGAGAGGGAGGUGGAAUUCCGGGUGUAGUAGUGAAAUGCGUAGAUAUCCGGAGGAACACCAGUGGCGAAAGCGACCUCCAGGCCUGUUUCUGACACUCAGAUGCGAAAGCUAGGGUAGCAAACGG